AGCUUGCCGCGUGGUUAUGGUUCUCCCGCCUCUCGGCGGGAGCUAAGAGGGAAUUCGGUAGAAGCCGAAGCUGCCCCGCAACUGUGAGCGGUCAGGGCAUGGUCCCGAAAAGUGGUUUCCGCUUUUCGGAAACGAUCAUGCCCAAUGGUGAAUAGCCACAUUGCCCACCACGUCACUGGCAUGGAGCCGGGAAGACGGGCGAUGAAGCAACGACCCGCGAGCCAGGAGACCUGCCUGACCAAGUGAGGUUCCG
RNAcentral lists this non-coding RNA (253 nucleotides) under Aminobacter niigataensis. The record is from RNAcentral. Lineage: Bacteria; Pseudomonadati; Pseudomonadota; Alphaproteobacteria; Hyphomicrobiales; Phyllobacteriaceae.